This 1269-nucleotide ribosomal RNA is filed under the name Dasyscopelus asper (prickly lanternfish). RNAcentral describes it as "Myctophum asperum (prickly lanternfish) partial 16S ribosomal RNA". Lineage: Eukaryota; Metazoa; Chordata; Actinopteri; Myctophiformes; Myctophidae. The record is from RNAcentral.
CGAACCCUUAAUAGCUGCUGCACCCUUAGGAUGUCCUGAUCCAACAUCGAGGUCGUAAACCCCCUCGUCGAUAAGAGCUCUUGGAGGGGAUUGCGCUGUUAUCCCUAGGGUAACUAGGUCCAUUAAUCGGCGAAAGCCGGGUCUUAGUGGUCAGAAAUUCUGUUACUUUAACCUGUGGGUUUAUGUUUUAGGGCCGAGUGGCCCAGUCCAUGUGGGGGUUUUGUUUUUCCCCGUGGUCGCCCCAACCGAAGACAUACCGGCAAGGCCCAUUUUGUUCAUUUCCUUUAGGGGGUGUUUGACGUGGGUUGCUUUAUGUCUAAAGCUCCAUAGGGUCUUCUCGUCUUACGGUUUCAUCCCCGCUUCUGCACGGGGAGAUCAAUUUCAUUGACUUUAAAAGGGAGACAGUUAAGCUCUCGUGAUGCCAUUCAUACUCGUCUCUAAUUAAGAGACAAUUUAUUGCGCUACCUUUGCACGGUCAAAAUACCGCGGCCGUUUAAAUUUUUCACUGGGCAGGCGGGACCUCUUAUUUGUUUAUUUUGCAAGAGGCGAUGUUUUUGGUAAACAGGCGAAGCUUGUGUUUGCCGAGUUCCUUCCUUUUAAUUAAGUCUUUCCGAAAGAACACGCCUGUGUUGGGCCAACGAGUUGGUGUGUUGGGGUUUCUUGUUAUUUAGGUGAUAUUACAGUACCCUCAUUAGGGGCUCGUUAAUUAUCGGGGGUGGGUCCGUUCCGACUUACACACGUGUGGGGAGAGGGGUGUUUCCUCUUAUUACUCAUUUUAGCAGUGUCUUUCCCAGGGUUAAUGGGAGGGUCUAAUAGUGGAGGGGAGUGAAGAGGAGGGCUCGGUAUUGAGGGUUGGAUUUUAUGGGAGCUGUAACGCUUUCUUUUUAGGUGGCUGCUUUUAGGCCCACUAGAAUAAGACUCCUAAUAUAAUAUGAUCUUUUAUCUCCAAUUGAGGUUGUGUCCUUUUUCAAAGGGGCUGUACCCUCUUUGACUAACUCUCUUAAUUUCCGUUGAUCUGAGGGGGCGGGUGCCGUUGAUGGGGGAUUAUAGGAGGCUGAACUUAAAUUCACUUUUUAGACAACCAGCUAUUACUAGGCUCGAUAGGUUUAUCACCUCUACUUGAAAAUCUUCCCACUCUUUUGCAACAGAGAUGGGUGUGCCCUGCAGAUGUCUGAUAGGCUGUUUUGAAGUAGCUCGUCUAGUUUCGGGGUUUUGAACUAAAGUUCUCUUUGCUCAAGUGGUACUUGCUAAAUCAUGAUGCAAAAGGUA